GGGCCAAUCGUAUAGUGGCUUAUUAUGCUGUCUUAGGGCUUUACCUCAUCUGAGGUUGCACUAAGUUGACAGAGGUCCCCGGUUCGAUUCCGGGUUGGCCCC
This 102-nucleotide transfer RNA is filed under the name Mycosarcoma maydis (corn smut). RNAcentral's name for it is "tRNA-Pro for anticodon AGG". The record is from RNAcentral. Lineage: Eukaryota; Fungi; Basidiomycota; Ustilaginomycetes; Ustilaginales.